This 305-nucleotide ribosomal RNA is filed under the name uncultured bacterium. Its description in RNAcentral is "bacterial SSU rRNA". It matches the Rfam family "Bacterial small subunit ribosomal RNA", at positions 335 to 631 of the family's 1533-position model. The record is from RNAcentral.
GGUCCUACGGGACGCAGCAGUGGGGAAUCUUCCGCAAUGGGCGCAAGCCUGACGGAGCAAUGCCGCGUGAACGAAGAAGGUCUUCGGAUUGUAAAGUUCUGUCCUUAUCGAAGAGAGGGUAUAGAGUGAAAAAUGAUAUACUAGGACGGUAGAUGAGGAGGAAGCCCCGGCUAACUACGUGCCAGCAGCCGCGGUAAUACGUAGGGGGCGAGCGUUGUCCGGAAUCACUGGGCGUAAAGGGCGCGUAGGCGGUAAUAUAAGUCAGAUGUGAAAGCCCGGGGCUCAACCCCGGGACUGCAUUUGGA